RNAcentral lists this ribosomal RNA (498 nucleotides) under uncultured bacterium. RNAcentral describes it as "partial 16S ribosomal RNA". It matches the Rfam family "Bacterial small subunit ribosomal RNA", at positions 30 to 523 of the family's 1533-position model. The record is from RNAcentral.
AUUGAACGCUGGCGGCAGGCCUUACACAUGCAAGUCGAACGGUAACAGGUCUUCGGAUGCUGACGAGUGGCGAACGGGUGAGUAAUACAUCGGAACGUGCCCGAUCGUGGGGGAUAACGAAGCGAAAGCUUUGCUAAUACCGCAUAAGAUCUAAGGAUGAAAGCAGGGGACCGCAAGGCCUUGCGCGAACGGAGCGGCCGAUGGCAGAUUAGGUAGUUGGUGGGAUAAAAGCUUACCAAGCCGACGAACUGUAGCUGAUCUGAGAGGACGACCAGCCACACUGGGACUGAGACACGGCCCAGACUCCUACGGGAGGCAGCAGUGGGGAAUUUUGGACAAUGGGCGAAAGCCUGAUCCAGCCAUGCCGCGUGCAGGAUGAAGGCCUUCGAGUUGUAAACUGCUUCUGUACGGAACGAAAAGACUCUUUCUAAUAAAGAGGGUCCAUGACGGUACCGUAAGAAUAAGCACCGGCUAACUACGUGCCAGCAGCCGCGGUAA